This 280-nucleotide ribosomal RNA is filed under the name Enterococcus gallinarum. RNAcentral describes it as "partial 16S ribosomal RNA". It matches the Rfam family "Bacterial small subunit ribosomal RNA", at positions 73 to 333 of the family's 1533-position model. The record is from RNAcentral. Lineage: Bacteria; Bacillati; Bacillota; Bacilli; Lactobacillales; Enterococcaceae.
UCUUUCACCGGAAWYUUGCUCCACCGAAUGAYAAAGAGUGGCGAACGGGUGAGUAACACGUGGGUAACCUGCCCAUCRGAAGGGGAUAACACUUGGAAACAGGUGCUAAUACCGUAUAACACUAUUUUCCGCAUGGAAGAAAYUUGAAAGGCGCUUUUGCGUCACUGAUGGAUGGACCCGCGGUGCAUUAACUAGUUGGUGAGGUAACGGCUCACCAAGGCCACGAUGCAUAGCCSACCUGAGAGGGUGAUCGGCCACACUGGGACUGAGACACGGCCCA